Molecule: ribosomal RNA, 450 nt
Filed under: uncultured bacterium
Lineage: Bacteria
Description: partial 16S ribosomal RNA
Rfam family: Bacterial small subunit ribosomal RNA
Source: RNAcentral
GUGGGGAAUUUUGGACAAUGGGCGCAAGCCUGAUCCAGCAAUGCCGCGUGCAGGAAGAAGGCCUUCGGGUUGUAAACUGCUUUUGUACGGAACGAAAAGGCUCUGGUUAAUACCUGGGGCUCAUGACGGUACCGUAAGAAUAAGCACCGGCUAACUACGUGCCAGCAGCCGCGGUAAUACGUAGGGUGCAAGCGUUAAUCGGAAUUACUGGGCGUAAAGCGUGCGCAGGCGGUUUUGUAAGACAGACGUGAAAUCCCCGGGCUCAACCUGGGAAUGGCGUUUGUGACUGCAAAGCUGGAGUGCGGCAGAGGGGGAGGGAAUUCCGCGUGUAGCAGUGAAAUGCGUAGAUAUGCGGAGGAACACCGAUGGCGAAGGCAGUCCCCUGGGCCUGUACUGACGCUCAUGCACGAAAGCGUGGGGAGCAAACAGGAUUAGAAACCCUAGUAGUCC